Long non-coding RNA from Suricata suricatta (meerkat), 326 nucleotides. RefSeq lists it as uncharacterized. NCBI's taxonomy places the organism in Eukaryota, Metazoa, Chordata, Mammalia, Carnivora, Herpestidae. The transcript has 3 exons. The record is from RefSeq and is a predicted model, not a curated record.
CCCAGAGCCACUUUAUUUUGCCUACUCAUGGGGUAAGGCAGAUCUCGAAAAUAAUAUUUCCACUUAUCCUUCAUGCCCUAAGAAGUCUCUGGGCCAUGAGAACAGUAUUGUCCCAGUUUAUGUACGAGCACACAGAAGCAUGGAAAUUGAGGACAAUUUCUCCAAGUUUAGAUAAUCACUGACUACCCUAAGAUUGCCGCGGAAGUUCCAGAUUAUACAGCCUGGAGAGACAGAGAGUGGUCGGAAACCACAUGCGCCCCCUGGAAGGCACAGUUGUUUUGGCAACUUGAGCGCAAGCUAGUGGUGCACUAGCACGGCAUUUGGAG